Anthonomus grandis grandis is the source of this 352-nucleotide long non-coding RNA. RefSeq lists it as uncharacterized. The transcript has 2 exons. Lineage: Eukaryota; Metazoa; Arthropoda; Insecta; Coleoptera; Curculionidae. The record is from RefSeq and is a predicted model, not a curated record.
UAUCAGUUACGAGCUAUUCAUUUAACAAACAAAACCACAAAAGUUAAAAAAUGUUCUCCAAAAUCGUUGUCUUCUUCGCUAUCUUGGCUGUAUCCUUUGCUGUACCAGCCCCUGAAGCCAAAGCUGAACCAAAACCAGAAGCUAACCCCGCUUUGUUGGUGGACAGUGCUCCCUUAGUAGCUGCAGCGCCUGUAGCUUACACUGCAGCCUACAGCGCUCCUUUAACUUAUGCUGCUGCUCCACUUGCCUACAGUGCCUAUCCUGCUUAUACAGCCUAUGCUUCUCCUUAUGUAGCAACAGUUUUUUAAGAUGUUUUUGUAUAUUAAAAUAAUAAAUAAUUAAUUCCAAAAUA